This is a long non-coding RNA of Anguilla anguilla (European eel), 995 nucleotides long. RefSeq lists it as uncharacterized. The record is from RefSeq and is a predicted model, not a curated record. Lineage: Eukaryota; Metazoa; Chordata; Actinopteri; Anguilliformes; Anguillidae. The transcript is spliced from 3 exons.
GUCAAGGAUCUCUCCGGCACAGACAUCAACGUUAUCAACACAUCGUCAGACGGAGUGCCGUCUUUGGAGGGGGCUCUGAGGAGGCCCGGGCCGUGGACGGGCGCCAGCGCCUUCCCCCCGCGGGCCCGCCAGUCUGUUUGGCCGCUUUCGCAUCAGAACCGAUGCCGCACUGCGGAGCGCGCCUGCGUCGCGUUUCAGGACGUCCACGGAGUGCCGAGCCCGCCCCUGUCUGAGCCUCAUGGACCGCCGGGCGCUCGGCUGGUUUGAGCGCUUAUCCCGUGACCCCAGAAUGUUGACUUGGACCCACCGGGGAGCUGGUAUCGGAUCGGUCAUCUUGGGACACGGUGGCUGACGCAGUGACGGACACGUGACAACGACCCGUGAAUAUACCACCGAUAGCAUCACUCCCUAGCUUGGCAGGGCCUGGUCUAAUUGACUGUGGCUGUUAGAAAAUCAUUACUUUUUUUGGAUUGUACAUGCACACAUAACAACAAACACACUGUCGUGCACACAUACACACACAUAUAUGUAAAUUAGACAUGUAUUUAUGUGUAUGAGUGUGUACAGUAUAUAUGAAAUACAGUCGUCUAUAUUUGUAAAGUGCAAUUCAUGAAUUGCACUACUAUUCAAAAGUGCUGCACUUUCAAAUAUAACAACACUGAACACACUGUAAUUCAGAACAGUAGUGAAUAAAAAAAAAGAAGGGCAUAAACAUACAAGCAGUAGUAAAAGCAAUGUAACAUUCUAAACUUAAAAUUCUAUGCAGCAAAAGUGCACCUUAACCAUACAAAUGAGGAAAAAGAAAAUAACGCAUAACACACACACACAGGGUGCAUAUAUGUGUACCCUAUGCAUGUGUUAUGUGUUCAUUUCUCGUCUCUCUUCCUUUUCCCCCUGCAUCCCUAUCUCUUGAAAAGCAUUCGUUUGACAUCCUUGAGAUAUGCACCAAGGAGUGCUUGGGGCAAGUCAUUUAAAUAAAAUGACAUCAAACACAA